CUUACUCAUCUGUUAAUAGGACUUAGAUUCAACUCCAGCAUCAGCAGACUCCCUAGGACACCUUGCGAGCCCUUUCAGUGCCAGCUUCUCUCCUCUACCCUACUCAUGCAGAAGGAAGGAGGUGCUGCUCCCUGAACAUUUCUAUCUUUCAACCCACAACUCACUCUUUCUGCACAUCAGCCAGAGGAAAUAAAAGGAAC
RNAcentral lists this long non-coding RNA (200 nucleotides) under Fukomys damarensis (Damara mole-rat). Its description in RNAcentral is "lncRNA (ENSFDAG00000031123.1)". The record is from RNAcentral. Lineage: Eukaryota; Metazoa; Chordata; Mammalia; Rodentia; Bathyergidae.